This 466-nucleotide ribosomal RNA is filed under the name uncultured bacterium. RNAcentral describes it as "bacterial SSU rRNA". It matches the Rfam family "Bacterial small subunit ribosomal RNA", at positions 338 to 796 of the family's 1533-position model. The record is from RNAcentral.
CCUACGGGAGGCAGCAGUGAGGAAUAUUGGGCAAUGGACGAAAGUCUGACCCAGCAACGCCGCGUGGAGGAUGAAUGCCGUAAGGUUGUAAACUCCUUUUGAGAGGGACGAAAACCCAUAUUUCGUAAGGGAUAUGGUUUGACUGUACCUCUAGAAGAAGCCCCGGCUAACUACGUGCCAGCAGCCGCGGUAAUACGUAGGGGGCAAGCGUUGUCCGGAUUUACUGGGUGUAAAGGGCGCGUAGGCGGAUUUGUAAGUCAGAGGUGAAAGCCCGCAGCUUAACUGCGGAACUGCCUUUGAUACUGCUUAUCUUGAGUUCGGAAGAGAGAAGCGGAAUUCCAGGUGUAGUAGUGAAAUACGUAGAUAUCUGGAAGAACACCGGUGGCGAAGGCGGUUUUCUAGCUUAUUCCUGACGCUGAGGCGCGAAAGCAAGGGGAUCAAACAGGAUUAGAUACCCCGGUAGUCC